AGACUAUUUAUCUUAAGCAAUUUUCUUUUGUGUGAUAUUGCUUUAUAUUAGUUGAUGAUUGUGUUGAGUUUGAAAAAAUCUGAUGGUGGUUAUCAACUUAGAAUGUAAGGGAAAUGGUUGUGCUAAGUUUGAAGAAUCUGAUGGUGGUGCUCUCUGGGACAUCUUUAGAAAGGAACAUGUCUCUAAGUUGGAAGAGUAUCUAAGGGACUUCAAGUAGUUCAGGCAUAUUUAUUGUUGUCAAGUGCCAGGGGUACAACUGUUUGCAUUAACCUUUUAAGAGAUGUAUGACUGUAUGUUCCUUUUGUUUUGAUUAUCUUUCAUCUUUUCUUUACUUAGGUUGUUCACCCAAUACAUGAUCAGAGUUUUUACUUGACUCUUGAACACAAGAAAAGGCUUAAAGAAUAAUAUGGUUAGAGUUUUCUUCUGUCAGCUUACACUUUUUUUAAAUACAUUUUUAAAAAUUUCUCAUACAUGCUAUGGUGGAUGAUGAACUGUUUAGGGUUUGAACCAUGUUCAUUCGUUCAAAAUUUAGGGGAUGCUAUUAUUAUACCAGCACGUUGUCCUCAUCAAGUUAGAAAUUUGAAGCUAACUAUUGUGCUAAAGAAAGGGGACAUGGACCAAAGAAGAGCCAAUGCAAUGAGUACUGACCUCUAUGCUAGAGGUUUGGUUGAGAUGAAGUUUUGUUUACAAAUCACUUUAGAAAUGCAUGAGAAAAAUGUUAAUCUUACCAAUUAAUACUCUGCUUUAGGCAGCUCCUUUUAAUCUUGCUGAUAAUGAUUUAUAUGUAACCUUAAAUACAUAGAAGCCUUCUAGGCUUUGAAGUAGAAGGCUGAUCAAAGCUACCAUCAUCUACACUGGGUCAAAGUCAUUGAAGUAGAAGACUGUGGAUGCUGCAUUGAUCAAAGCCAUUGAAGCAGUGUCGGAUUUGAAGGCUUAUUUGGGUGCAGCUAGCAUACUUAAAGUAGUAUAUAUUUUCAUUGACUUUUUUUGGUGUAUGUUAAUAUUCAAUUGUUGGAAGUACUAUGUUAGACAUUCCAAAAUUUUUGUUGUAAAUAAUUUUGAUGUUUAAAUAUAUUUUAAAAGUGUUGGGUCUAA
Molecule: long non-coding RNA, 1095 nt
Organism: Ipomoea triloba (trilobed morning glory)
Lineage: Eukaryota; Viridiplantae; Streptophyta; Magnoliopsida; Solanales; Convolvulaceae
Exons: 2
Source: RefSeq, a predicted model, not a curated record